RNAcentral lists this long non-coding RNA (2044 nucleotides) under Glycine max (soybean). RNAcentral's name for it is "long non-coding RNA (GMAX_LNC001963)". Lineage: Eukaryota; Viridiplantae; Streptophyta; Magnoliopsida; Fabales; Fabaceae. The record is from RNAcentral.
CUCCAUAGUGUAGGGAGGGUACCCUAGUAAUGUAGGAUUUUUCAGCCCUUGUAUUUUAGGGCAUCUAGACUAGCUUUUGUAUUAGGAGUAGUUUUGUAAUUUCACAUGCUUUAAGUGAAUAUUUGAUGUGUGUUGGGAGAUAAAUUUAAUUGAAUUGGGAGAAGCCCAAUCCAAUUAAAUUUUAGAGGGGGAGAUGAACAUUUACUUGCUACACCCCAUUGCCACAUCAUAUAGUCACACUUUGUAUAUAUCCUUUAUGCUUUACAUGUCUAAUGACACCUAAGCACACUUAGUGGAGAAUCUUGGACUUGAUCUUGGAUUAGUUGGUUGAAUCAUAGCUAAAAUUCCCUAAUCAUAAUUAUCGAAAUUUUGGCACCACCAAUUCAAAUUCAAGUGAAAUUUGAAUAGAAAUUUAAAUUUUUCUCCAAUUUUGUGUAACACUUAAGCUAUAAAUAGAAGCCUUGUGUGUGCAUUUUUUUCAACUUUAAUCAUUUGAGAAUUACAUUUCAAAGUUUAGACCUCAUUUGAGGCAUAAAAUUUUGUGUUCCUUCUCUCCUUCUCCCUCCACUCAUCUUCUCCUACCUUCAAGCUCUUAUCCAUGACUUCCUAUGAUGGUGAACUUGUUCUUAACUCAUCUUCUCCUUCAAGUGGUGUCUCCAAUCAUCUUUCUUCCUUCUCCAUUCCUCUGUCAUUGAUCUUCAAGAAGCAAAGGACUUCAUUGAUGAAGAAGAUUCAAUGCCUACAAGCUCCACAUGGAGUUACAUCAAUUUGAUUAAUUAAUGAGAUGAAAUAUAGGAAAUAAACUGAAAUGAAAAAGGGAAGAACAAACAUAGAAUCUCUAAAAUAAGAGUUAGCAUAUAAUAACUCAAGCAAAAGAUCAAGCUUCUUAGUUGAUACUUGAAACUAAUUUAAAAGUAAAACUCUCUUUGAUGGUCAACAAAAAUUCUAACCCUGAAACAUGAAAAUAUUGAGAAACAGGACUAAACCCAUUUCUUGUUUUAGCUCUUUGUCAGAUCGACAUUUUUAAAAAGAAAACAAAUAACCCCGAACAAUCUGGUAAAGUAUAGAGGUUAAAAAAUAACAGUAUAAAAAUCAUUUUUACUUCUUUCUCCAACACAAGCCUUAACUGAUAUACUUGAAGCAAUAUGGGGUUACUUUGUUCAUAUUACAAAAUUAUACAAUUGUGAUACCUAGAGACCUAACUCACACAACUGAAUCUUGAGGACUAAAAUAACACAUUUAUAUUACUUGAAGAUCCAAUUAACACAAUUAAAACUUAGAAAACUAAAAUCACAUAAUUGUAAUACAUGAUAUUAAAAAUAAAAUAAAGCCAAUUUCAAAUUUACUAGUUUGAUCAUAGAAAAGAAAAGCUCUCUCUUAGGAGUUUGCCCACCAUUAUGCUACUUUAAUUUAACCACUCCCCACUUGCCAAUAGCCUCCUUCAGGUGGAAUGAAAAUUUUGUUUUGCCCAGCUAAACAAUAAUUAGUACAGCCACAUAUAUAGACUAUUAGUUUCGUGCAAAGCAAAUCAAGCUUUGAAUCUCAUGAGAACCUGCGAUCCUUGUACAUGUUUUUUAAAUUUGCAAAGGUAUAUUGAUGAUGGUACAAGGGGUAUCAACCCAUAUACAAAAUAAAGAGCAAAACAUAGCAAGUUUGGCAUGUUUAGCAACUAUUUAAAUCAAAAGAGGACCUAAAUAGAUGCUAAUCACGAUCCUUGUACAUGUGAUUUCCUAGUUCUAAGAAAAUAUAAUAUUAAUGAGUAGAACUUAAACAUCAUAAAAUUGACCUUAAUUUCUGUUACUUGGUAACUAGUACUACUUGUUUAGAACAACGUACCUUUAUUUAGCCAAUGGGUGGACCCUCUCGACUACCUAACUAAACACCAAAUAAUGCAUUGUUUUUUAACUUCGAAAUUUUGAAUGACUUUUAAAGAAGGGUAGCUACUUACUUUGUUUUCGUAAAGUGAACUAUAUAUAUAUAUAUAUAUAUAUAUGGCCCAGAUGCUUGAGGCUAAGGUACUAAAACAGACUAAACUUUAAUUCAA